AAAAAAGAACAUUCUUGAAUCACUCUCAACCAUCUAAUAUUUUUCCAUACGUUAAGAUAAAUGUAUUGAAGAAUUGCAGGUGGUGGAUAGUUUUUCAACCUUU
RNAcentral lists this microRNA precursor (103 nucleotides) under Oikopleura dioica. Its description in RNAcentral is "microRNA odi-mir-1497d precursor (odi-mir-1497d-2)". Lineage: Eukaryota; Metazoa; Chordata; Appendicularia; Copelata; Oikopleuridae. The record is from miRBase by way of RNAcentral.